UGGGGAAUAUUGCACAAUGGGCGCAAGCCUGAUGCAGCCAUGCCGCGUGUAUGAAGAAGGCCUUCGGGUUGUAAAGUACUUUCAGCGGGGAUGAAGGGAGUAAAGUUAAUACCUUUGCUCAUUGACGUUACCCGCAGAAGAAGCACCGGCUAACUCCGUGCCAGCAGCCGCGGUAAUACGGAGGGUGCAAGCGUUAAUCGGAAUUACUGGGCGUAAAGCGCACGCAGGCGGUUUGUUAAGUCAGAUGUGAAAUCCCCGGGCUCAACCUGGGAACUGCAUCUGAUACUGGCAAGCUUGAGUCUCGUAGAGGGGGGUAGAAUUCCAGGUGUAGCGGUGAAAUGCGUAGAGAUCUGGAGGAAUACCGGUGGCGAAGGCGGCCCCCUGGACGAAGACUGACGCUCAGGUGCGAAGGCGUGGGGAGCAAACA
RNAcentral lists this ribosomal RNA (427 nucleotides) under uncultured bacterium. RNAcentral describes it as "partial 16S ribosomal RNA". It matches the Rfam family "Bacterial small subunit ribosomal RNA", at positions 355 to 774 of the family's 1533-position model. The record is from RNAcentral.